GACGAACGCUGGCGGCGUGCUUAACACAUGCAAGUCGAACGGAAAGACCCUGCUUUUGUGGGGUGCUCGAGUGGCGAACGGGUGAGUAACACGUGAGUAACCUGCCCUUGACUUUGGGAUAACUUCAGGAAACUGGGGCUAAUACCGGAUAGGAGCUCCUGCUGCAUGGUGGGGGUUGGAAAGUUUCGGCGGUUGGGGAUGGACUCGCGGCUUAUCAGCUUGUUGGUGGGGUAGUGGCUUACCAAGGCUUUGACGGGUAGCCGGCCUGAGAGGGUGACCGGCCACAUUGGGACUGAGAUACGGCACAGACUCCUACGGGAGGCAGCAGUGGGGAAUAUUGCACAAUGGGCGGAAGCCUGAUGCAGCAACGCCGCGUGCGGGAUGACGGCCUUCGGGUUGUAAACCGCUUUCGCCUGUGACGAAGCGUGAGUGACGGUAAUGGGUAAAGAAGCACCGGCUAACUACGUG
Molecule: ribosomal RNA, 468 nt
Filed under: uncultured bacterium
Lineage: Bacteria
Description: partial 16S ribosomal RNA
Rfam family: Bacterial small subunit ribosomal RNA
Source: RNAcentral